This 497-nucleotide ribosomal RNA is filed under the name uncultured bacterium. RNAcentral describes it as "partial 16S ribosomal RNA". It matches the Rfam family "Bacterial small subunit ribosomal RNA", at positions 28 to 507 of the family's 1533-position model. The record is from RNAcentral.
GAUGAACGCUGGCGGCGUGCCUAAUACAUGCAAGUCGAGCGAACAGACGAGGAGCUUGCUCCUCUGACGUUAGCGGCGGACGGGUGAGUAACACGUGGAUAACCUACCUAUAAGACUGGGAUAACUUCGGGAAACCGGAGCUAAUACCGGAUAAUAUAUUGAACCGCAUGGUUCAAUAGUGAAAGACGGUUUUGCUGUCACUUAUAGAUGGAUCCGCGCCGCAUUAGCUAGUUGGUAAGGUAACGGCUUACCAAGGCAACGAUGCGUAGCCGACCUGAGAGGGUGAACGGCCGCACUGGAACUGAGACACGGUCCAGACUCCUACGGGAGGCAGCAGUAGGGAAUCUUCCGCGAUGGGCGAAAGCCUGACGGAGCAACGCCGCGUGAGUGAUGAAGGUCUUCGGAUCGUAAAACUCUGUUAUUAGGGAAGAACAAAUGUGUAAGUAACUAUGCACGUCUUGACGGUACCUAAUCAGAAAGCCACGGCCAACUACGUG